RNAcentral lists this ribosomal RNA (775 nucleotides) under uncultured Neocallimastigales. Its description in RNAcentral is "partial large subunit ribosomal RNA". It matches the Rfam family "Eukaryotic large subunit ribosomal RNA", at positions 22 to 635 of the family's 3401-position model. The record is from RNAcentral. Lineage: Eukaryota; Fungi; Neocallimastigomycota; Neocallimastigomycetes; Neocallimastigales.
GUACACGCUGUGACUAGCAUAUCAAAUAAGCGGAGGAAAAGAAACUAACAAGGAUUCCCCUAGUAACGGCGAGUGAAGCGGGAAGAGCUCAAAUUUGAAAUCUUAAAGGGUUUCCCUUUACGAAUUGUAGUUUAAAGAAGUGUUUUCUGUUGAGGUUUUGGUAAAAGUUCUUUGGAAUAGGACAUCAUAGAGGGUGAGAAUCCCGUAUUUGACCUUUACUUUCAACUUUGUGAUACACUUUCAAAGAGUCGGAUUGUUUGGGAAUGCAGUCCAAAAUGGGUGGUAAAUUUCAUCUAAAGCUAAAUACUGGCGAGAGACCGAUAGCGAACAAGUACCGUGAGGGAAAGAUGAAAAGAACUUUGAAAAGAGAGUUAAACAGUACGUGAAAUUGUCAAAAGGGAAGCGUUUGACACCAGUGUUGUUUUUCUGAAAAUCAAUUAAAGAACUGUUUAUGCUAAGCUGUUUAGACUUUAUCAGCUAUCUGUUUAGUUUUGAGCUUUUCUUUAAUGCACUUUUCAGUUAACAAGUCAACAUCAAUUUCUUUUGCUGUAAAAAAGCUUGAGGAAGGUGGCUUGAGAUUCGUCUUAAGCGUUUAUAGCCUCUUGCCUAUGCAGUCGGAGAGAUUGAGGUCUGCAGCGUAGAUCCUUCGGGGCUAAAUGCAUUUGUGCUAAGUUAUAGCAUUUUAUAGACAACUUGUUGACUAUGAUUUGUCUUGUAGCUUACUCGCUUAUGUUAUUUUACCUACGCUUAGGAUGUUGAAGAUGUAGCACAUCAU